Molecule: ribosomal RNA, 409 nt
Filed under: bacterium
Lineage: Bacteria
Description: partial 16S ribosomal RNA
Rfam family: Bacterial small subunit ribosomal RNA
Source: RNAcentral
UGGGGAAUAUUGCACAAUGGGCGAAAGCCUGAUGCAGCGACGCCGCGUGAGGGAUGACGGCCUUCGGGUUGUAAACCUCUUUCAGUAGGGACGAAGCGCAAGUGACGGUACCUGCAGAAGAAGCACCGGCUAACUACGUGCCAGCAGCCGCGGUAAUACGUAGGGUGCGAGCGUUGUCCGGAAUUACUGGGCGUAAAGAGCUCGUAGGCGGUUUGUCACGUCGUCUGUGAAAUCCUAGGGCUUAACCCUGGACGUGCAGGCGAUACGGGCUGACUUGAAUACUACAGGAGAGACUGGAAUUUCUGGUGUAGCGGUGGAAUGCACAGAUAUCAGGAAGAACACCGAUGGCGAAGGCAGGUCUCUGGGUAGUAACUGACGCUGAGGAGCGAAAGCAUGGGUAGCGAACAGG